RNAcentral lists this ribosomal RNA (497 nucleotides) under uncultured bacterium. RNAcentral's name for it is "partial 16S ribosomal RNA". It matches the Rfam family "Bacterial small subunit ribosomal RNA", at positions 28 to 507 of the family's 1533-position model. The record is from RNAcentral.
GAUGAACGCUGGCGGCGUGCCUAAUACAUGCAAGUCGAGCGAACAGACGAGGAGCUUGCUCCUCUGACGUUAGCGGCGGACGGGUGAGUAACACGUGGAUAACCUACCUAUAAGACUGGGAUAACUUCGGGAAACCGGAGCUAAUACCGGAUAAUAUAUUGAACCGCAUGGUUCAAUAGUGAAAGACGGUUUCGCUGUCACUUAUAGAUGGAUCCGCGCCGCAUUAGCUAGUUGGUAAGGUAACGGCUUACCAAGGCAACAAUGCGUAGCCGACCUGAGAGGGUGAUCGGCCACACUGGAACUGAGACACGGUCCAGACUCCUACGGGAGGCAGCAGUAGGGAAUCUUCCGCAAAGGGCGAAAGCCUGACGGAGCAACGCCGCGUGAGUGAUGAAGGUCUUCGGAUCGUAAAACUCUGUUAUUAGGGAAGAACAAAUGUGUAAGUAACUAUGCACGUCUUGACGGUACCUAAUCAGAAAGCCACGGCUAACUACGUG